AGUCAAGCUAAUAAGGGCAUACGGCGGAUGCCUAGGCGCCAACAGCCGAAGAAGGACGGGGUAAGCUCCGAAAAGCCAUGGGGAGCCGCAAGCAGGCAUAGAUCCA
This 106-nucleotide ribosomal RNA is filed under the name Sporomusaceae bacterium. Its description in RNAcentral is "partial 23S ribosomal RNA". It matches the Rfam family "Bacterial large subunit ribosomal RNA", at positions 1 to 106 of the family's 2925-position model. Lineage: Bacteria; Bacillati; Bacillota; Negativicutes; Selenomonadales; Sporomusaceae. The record is from RNAcentral.